AGUGCUGUAUCUGUACCCGAAUAGAAAUAAAAGAUUUUAAUGACACAGUUUUCUUCCGCUCUGAAAGUGAACGAAUUACAAAACAGUCUAGAGAAUUCCUCGCCCUGCUGCAGAAGAUCAAUCCUGGGUUGUGCUCACCAAAGCAAACCUCUUUUUUUGUGUAUUCAGUGUCUUAACUAUGUAAAAGACAACUAUAACAGGUGUACAGUGCUGUUUCUGAAAUUGACGAAUCCUCUUGUGAUGAAGAUUGAAGAAGCUAUUGCCAUCCAAGUGGAAAAAGUCCCGCCUCUGUCACCCUCCUCGAAUAGAACUAAGAAAAUGUGGAGACUUUCUUCAUUUAGUUCCAAAUCAAGUGGACCAGAUGUUGAUUUGUUUGAAAUGGACUGAGACUUGUGUUUCAUAUGCCAGGUUGAACAGACGUUAGAAACGAAAAAGGAUAGUCUGAUUCAAAGAAAAGAUAAUAGUUUCUUCGUCGAUUUCGCAACAUACUAUCUGUGGACAUCUACAGAAAUCGUCAGGAUCUGUGCAACAUCGAUGUUAAUCCUGAUUCGCACAUGAACAAGUGCCCUGUUCUUAACCCUGAGAGUCUCGGAAAAUAUCUCUAUAGCAAGCUAGGUAGAUAUCACAAAACAUGUCGUUUGAGGUACAGCAACUCGAGGGUGAAACAAUUGAAGGGUAAAUUAUCUGAAGCUGUAAGUUUAAAACCUGUCUCUAAGGCAGGUUUUAAAAUGGAAAGACACGUGUCCACGCACGACAACACCAAUGCUGCAUUAAUGAGUGCAGGUAUUGAUACGGGCCUUUUAACUGGAGCAGGAGAAUGUUUUACCAGAACUGUACCUCGUGUCUGACCUGAAGCUUAAGUACAAUGACUAUGUGACGUCUAAUUUAUCUGAGAACGCUGCAAACUCCAGCAAUGUUUAAUCUGAUCACAUCAGUUUUCAGAAAGACAAUGUCGGUAAGACGAGUUUGUUUCGACAGCAGGAUCGUAUCUAAUUUAGCCGCAACAAUAGAUGCGGAUAGAGAUGAUAACACUUUAACAAAGACAGCACUCUUAAAGGAGAUUAGAAAAGAAAUCUUUCAAUGUAGAAACGAAUUCUAUCAGAAGAUUUAUCUUCAAAAACAUGUUCGAUUUACUGAUCGGACUGUAGAAAUAUAGUGUUUAUGUGGAUUAAUCUGUUAAAGCAGGGCUAUUGUAUCAUUUUAACAUUAACUUUGCAU
Long non-coding RNA from Bolinopsis microptera, 1218 nucleotides. RefSeq lists it as uncharacterized. Lineage: Eukaryota; Metazoa; Ctenophora; Tentaculata; Lobata; Bolinopsidae. The record is from RefSeq and is a predicted model, not a curated record. The transcript is spliced from 3 exons.